CUUUUCCUCUUCAAAUCUCCAAGCCCUCGUCAUCCUUCUUUUCUCUUUCUCAUUUUGUGUUUCUUUUUUUUUUUAAUUCCAAAUUCUUCUCUUUCUUCUCAUUCUUUCCUUCAAUUGCUAACAUAUUUCCUUAGAAUCUCUUAAAACUUCAAAACCUACAGAUGAUUGAAGAUCCACUACAAGUGCACAUUGGUAGGUGGAAAGUGUACUUCUUAUGAAGUGGCAGAGUCUCGUUACUUGAUUUAAGUUCAUCAUCGAAUCUGGUUUUGUUUCUCUUAACAUUUACCAGUGAUUUUUCUUUUCCUCUUGAUGUUAUUUUUCUUGCUGGCUUGUAAAGAUCACCAGAUUUCAAUUUCCGUGUAAAUGCAUACCAGUAGUAUAUUUGUGUUCCAAACAUCUGUGCUUAUAUUGUUUCAUUAUCCCCCUUUCGGGAGUAAUCUUGCAGCAGUCUUUGACUCAAUUUUGCAAAGAAGGGCUUCCAAAUUAGUUGUUUUGGUCUUCUAGAGUGAGUACAAUUUGGAUAUUUUGUACUAAUUUUAGGAUUUCUUUAAUCUAAAGUCUCUCUCUCCCAUAUGGAUUAAGUUUCAUUGUUCGUAAAUGUUGGAGCCAAUUUCUCAUUUGACUUCACCAUUGAUUAGAUUUGCUAAUGUUGCAAUUAAGGAGGUUGUUAGAGAUGUUAACUCCAACUUCACUUGCCUUGCAAGGAUGAAACUUCUUAUUAAGAUCCAGAGUUCAAAUUAUAGUGGAAGGGUGGGGUGGUUGGAGGUGAUUUUUUAUAGUUGUUUUUCCAAAGAUUUCUUUUCAGACCUUUUUCAUUUCUCCUAUUAUAUUAUUUUAUAUGCUAAGAAAACCUUGGGGGGGGGGAAAGAAGAUAGCUUUUUCUUGUCACUUUAAUCCUUAAUGCAGAGAAUAUAACCCUCAUUUACUUGCUGAAAAAGUUGUCCAUUCAUCUUGCUUUCAAGAUCAUGAUGGUACACUUACUUCCAUCGUUGAAAACUUGACCUUACUUGAUUUCAUUUCUAGGGAGGUUUCUUCUCCAUCAUUUUUCUUUUUGAAAAAUUUUUAUUUUCUAAGGAUUAGAUUUAAUCUUAAUGAAUUUAUUGCUUUUUUCUAAUUAAAUCAGAUGAGAGCAGUUUUGCAAGACAUUUCUUAUCAUUUUGCUAUUGCAAUAGUUACUGGAAAACACAGAUUUGCAAUCAUGAAAGAUGUGAGAAAUGAUAAGAAAUGUCUUGCAAAAAUGUGCAGAGCCAAGGUAUAUUCAUGUAAAAAAAAUGAAUAUUUUGGAGUAUUUUCAAAGUGGGACUCAUUUUAGCUAAUGAAUACUUAUUAGCGGGUUUACAAUUUUGUUAAAUUAUCAGAGCUUUAUUAUGCCAGCAAUACACUAUAUAACUACCUACACUACCUGCCAAAGGUGUUUUUAUUAAAUUUUAGACAAGAAUAAUGAGUUUUCUUGCCAAAUUAUGGUAAGGGUGAGUAUGAGAAAAUUUAGUCCUCGGGGAAAAUGCCAUAUUCACAUUUUUACAUGGAAAAUGUAAGUUUUUCGUUUUGUUAGUUGUGUACAUUGAUGGCAUGUAUCUGGUAACAUGAAAUAAUUGCUUAGAAUAAUAGUUUAUGCAAGUUUAUGGGGUCUGAUGCCAAGUUUAAGAGGGGUAGGGAAAUGUAGUGUAAGUGUUUAUUCCUUAAGUGAAACAGCUUCAAAUAAUGAGCUGUUUUUAUUUACUUGAUGAUAAUGUAAAAUAGUGAGUUACAUAAUGCUAUAGGGGUUGGGUAAAGGGGAAAGGAACUGUAUUACAAUGAGAUGAAUGCUUCGUAAAGGUAGUUAUUUGGAUAUGAAUAUGAUAAUAAUGCAUAAUGUUUUCAUCCAAAAAGGUGAUAGUAGUAAUUAUUUUUCUAUUAAGUUUGGUUCAUGAUGAAUGUCAUACUUAGUUUGCUUUAAUUAUGGUUGAUAUCUGUGAGAACCCGUAACUUUUCCAUUUUCUAGGUUUUCUUAUCUUCAAUGGCUUGUUUUCUGCACUUUCUGUAUCCGGAAAUUUUUUCCAGAUAAUUUUUACGAGUAAAUAUAGUUUUUAGAUGAUUUUUCUAAUAUCGAAUAGUUUUUGAGAAAUUAAGAGCGUAUACCGGACGUGGGACCCACUAGUGCAAAAAGUUCGGAAAAAUUCGGUCAACUAGGUUAAGUUUCGGAUACUGGGUUUAAUUUACCAGGUGUUAAGAGAUAAUUAGAGGAAGCUAUUUGGAUUGAUGUGAGAGGGAACAAAGUGAUAGACUUGCAUUAAAUAAGUGACAAGUGUCACCAUUUGAUUGGAGGAACUUGUAAGAUCACUAUUCAUUUUCUUACCAUUGACCAAAUAAAUCAAAAAUUCACCAAAAAUUCCUCAUUUUUGUCUUCCUCUUGGCCGAACCUCUUCCUACAAGAAAAGAAAGAAAAGCUUCCAAGUUUCUUGCUCCAAUCUUGCCCAAUCUCACAAACUAACCGUUUCAUCUUGAAUUCCUUCCAUAAAACCUCUUCAAUUAGUGUUAGUGAGUUGAUUUGUGGAGUUAUUUGAAAAGCUAAGAGGACCUAUUGCUCUCUCUCUCUCGUUUCUAAGGUGAGUUGUGAAGAACCACCCUCCUCCCUUAAUUGAUGCUUAAAUCAUGAUUAGUGGUAGUAUGAGAUGCAAUAUUAUGGAUUAUUUCUUGAUUUGUGGUUGAAGUGAUGAAGUUUUAUUAUUUUUGGGGAUUUUUCUGUUUUAAUAUAAGCAUGGUUGUGUGGCUAUCUAUGAUGAUUGGAAAUGGUAUAUAAUGACUCUAGGAGGUGGAAAAAGUGAUCAAUUGCAAUCAAUUUCUGUUUUGGAAGAAAUUUCAGAAAAUUAGGUUUUGUGAAGGAACAUUCUGCCCGAAUUUUUAGCUCCUAGUUAGAGGCCGAAUUGGCCUUGGCUUAAAACAUGAAAGUUGUAGGGAAUGACAUUUUAGAGGUGCCUACAAAAUUUCAGGUCAAUCGGAGUACCGUAGAGUGAGAAAAGUCGAAAUUACUAUUGUUGUUCUGGUUUUACCCGAAUGUAAGAAUUGCGCCUGUAAUUGGUUGUUUUAGCUGGAAUUGCUUCCGAAUUGGUUGUUGAGGCCUUCUGAUGAAAUUUAUCCCUGUUUCUUAGCUUUCAGCUGGUUUUGGAAUUUCUGGAUUUGGACUUGAAUAGCCUGAUUUAUGAUGUUUCCGCUAGAAUGCGUUCUGUGAAUCUGUUUUUGUAAUUCUGGUAUAGUAUCUCGCAUUUUUGACCUGGUUACACUCGAAACUGGGUUGAGUGACCUUCUGCAAUAUUGUAGCCCUAUCUCUUAGCUUCGAAACGGUGGGUCUUGCACCUUCAUCCGAUAAUCGUAGUGCCUUUGGCACUAUUACCGGAAAAUGAGGAUAAAAACUAUUUUUUUCAGGGCUAAAGCUAAAUCAUUUCCGGAUUUUUCUGGUUUCCUCUAUUGUUUGUGUAUGCUUAGGGAACCCUGUUUUGGUAGUAUGUAGAAUUGGUUUAUAACUUGUAAUCGAGUCUUAUUGUGUUUAUUUGAAUAGUUUUGGGCUUGACUUUCAUAUCCGGUCAUUUCCUAGCUAAAUGUUGUACUUGAAUGCCAUUAAGCCUAGUGAAUGGCUUUUGGGAAUGAGAUUAUUUUUGUACGAGAUGUUGGGACUGUUUUGAGGAAAUAAUGAAGCCAUGAUGGCUGGAAAAUAGGUAAACACAAGGGAUAUGCUGCCGAAAUUUUACUUGAAGGCUAGUUGGAUUUACUUGUGAUUUGAGCGAAGGACUUUUGGGUUGUUUGAGCCUAGGUCUUCAUUUUACCUUUUCGUUUCCAAAAAUUCAUGUUUUGCACCCUUGCUUUAAUCAUUAUUUGGCGAGGCAUACGACUGGUAGUCGAGUCUCACAUGUGCAUUCUGUAUACUCGAUUUUGAAAGUGGAACCUUCAAUUGUUUUCUUUGGAUUAUCUUAGGGUUUCUUGGUGAUUAAAGCUCUCUUUUGGGAGGUAUCUAUACUGACCCCGGUGAGUGUUCCACUACCUGCUACCCGUUAUGUGAAAUAUCUGAAUAUCUGAAUACUUGAUUUAUGACUAUUGGAGCCAAAUACUGUUUUGAUAAAAGGGAGGCGAGGGUGUACUUUAUCACACUCGUUCUCUGGUCUGUUCAUAUGCCAAUUUUGAACGCGUAUCUGAAUCUGCUAUCUGUAUCUGUUAUCUGUAUCUGGAUCUGUAUCUGUUCUGACGUCGUUUGGAAGCUUGUGUCCAACGACCUUUCUGUGACCUCUGAGCUCAACACCUGUGGCCAGUUACUCGAGUCGGGCCGGCAAGGGCCUGGUCGAUUAGAUAACGAACCACGGUAGUCUGUUUUGGGAUCUUUAGGUAUUGAGACCCUUGAUUCCGGGUAUACUCGAGUAUUGCCAUUUCUGAUCUGAUUGGAUUUCGGGCCCGGUGGGGUAUGUGAGGUGGAAGGAAUCGAAGAAAGUGGAGUCUACGGUAUUGGUUACUCCUUUAGCGUUGACGGAGUGUCAACUAUUAUUUCGAUCAAGCUUCGAUGAUGCUAAUGGAAAUUUGGCUCCUGAGAGCCACCUGUAUCCUUCUGAUUUGAAUCAUUGGUUCAUUUACUUUACAUCUGGCAUGUGUACCUGAUUUGUUAAAUGUGAAAUGCCAUGAUUUUACUGCUAUAUGUCUGGUACCUCAUUGAGCGCAAGCUCACCCCUUUCUGUUCCUUUUUGUUUUCCUUACAGGAAAAUACAUACUUUUGGACUGGAUUUGAC
RNAcentral lists this long non-coding RNA (4748 nucleotides) under Coffea arabica (coffee). RNAcentral's name for it is "long non-coding RNA (CARA_LNC007873)". Lineage: Eukaryota; Viridiplantae; Streptophyta; Magnoliopsida; Gentianales; Rubiaceae. The record is from RNAcentral.